CAAGGAAGUUGACAUGUCAUCACUUCAUUUUUUUGCGCCUGCGCAUAAAUCUGAGAAACGUGAGUUUGUCAUCAUUUUUUAUCUAGACAUAGGAUAGGUUGUGUGAAAAUAUUACUGAUGUUUAACGUUAAAAAUGGACCAAAAGAUUAAUGCUAAACAACAUUUGACAUGUUUGAACGAACAUAAAUAGAUUAUUUACUAGGUUUUUUUAGCUUUUCGGCGUGAUUUUACCAGCCCCCCAACCACGUUUUGUGGGAGCAUAAUGAACGCUAAGUACUUGGUGUUAUUUGGACAUAAAUUAUGAACUUUGUCAAAAGAAACCACAUUUGUUCCGGACCUGGAAUGCCUUCCGGACCUGGGAUCCUGCCUUCUGAUGGAGAUAAUCAAAGAGCCCAGUUUUAAGGACACAGGUCUGGUGAAGCGGAAAGCUUGGCUGUCGCCUGGCGUUUGCGUUCAACCGUGGACCAGUGGAGUGACAUUUGGAGGCGGGGGAACAAAAAACGAUCAGAGCAGACGGACGGACAGGGCAGGGUUCCCCCUCGGGACCGGACGAGAGCAGGGUUGGAGGUAGAGAGAAGGGCCGUUACAGAAUUACCCACCACAAGAAGACCAAGCAGCGGAGAAGAGGGCAGAUGGAAGUCAAGGAGGACUAUAGGAAGCAGUGCGCUCGGGAGGAGAUGGCAUCCUGGUCGCUGGAAGUAUUGGAGGCAAGAAUAGACUGGACUUGGGAACAGCUAUUUGACCAUUGCAGCAACCUGCCGGGGAGGCAGGUAGAGCCCGAGAGGCAGCCCCAAAUAUUUUUUUGGGGGGGGCACACGGGGAGUGUGGCAGAGUCAGGUUGGAGACCUGAGCCAGCUCCCCGUGCUUACAGGAGUCAACGUAGUACUGGUCAGGCACCGUGUGAACCGUGUGAACUCUUUGGCCUGAAUGCCAAGUGUCAAGUCUGGAGGAAACCAUCCCUAUGGUGAAGCAUGGUGGUGGUAGCAUCAUGCUGUGGGGAUGUUUUUCAGCGGCAGUUACUGGGAGACUAGUCAGGAUCGAGGGAAAGAUGAACGGAGCAAAGUACAGAGAUCCUUGAUGAAAACCUGCUCCAGAGCACUCAGGAGGCGAAGAUUCACCUUCCAACAGGACAACGACCCAAAGCACACAGCCAAAACAACGCAGGAGUGGCUUCGGGACAAGUCUCUGAAUGUCCUUGAGUGGUCCAGCCAGAGCCUGGACUUGAACUCAAUCUAACAUUACUGGAGAAACCUGAAAAUAACUGUGCAGCGACACUCCCCAUCCAAUCUGACAGAGCUUGAGAGGAGCUACAGAGAAGAAUGGAAGAAACUCCCAAAAUACAUGUGUGCCAAGCUUGUAGUGUCAUACCCAAAAAGACUUUAGGCUGUAAUCGCUGCUAAAGGUGCUUCAACAAAGUACUGAGUAAAGGGUCUGAACACUUAUGUAAAUGUGAUAUUUCAGUUGAACAUUUUUAAUACAUUUCUAAAAACGUUUUGCUUUCAAAUGAUGGGUUAUUGUGUGUAGAUUGAUGAGGGGAAACAACAUUUCAAUCAAUUUUAGAGUAAGGCUGUAACGUAACAAAAUGUGAAAAAAGUCAAGAUGUCUGAAUACUUUCUGAAUGCAAGAAUCUCGGCCAUCAGCCAAGUGAUCAUUGAUCGGGACGGGCUGCCAAUACCAGAAGAGAACAUUCAUGUCCAUUGAUCCCACAGCACGUGACCGUGUGUGUGUGUGUGUGUGUGUGUGUGUGUGUAUGUGUGCGUGCAUGCGAGUGUGUGUGUGUGUGUGCCUGUAUGUGUUAGUGAUGUACUGUAUAUGUCAGUGUGUAAACAGAAACAAAAGGCUUAAAGUGAAUUGUAGAUACAUUACAAAUGGUAACAGUGAAAUAAGCAGAGCUUACUCGAGUGAUUGUCUUCAUAGAUGGGUAAAAUGUAUCCUCUCACCUUACUCAAUAAAACAGCAUUAGAUGUCAAAUCAAACUUUAUUGGUCACGUACACAUGUUUAGCAGAUCUUAUUGCGGGUGUAGCGAAAUGCUUACAGCGGCUGAGAAAUGAUGGUGGAAAUGUCAAAAGCAGAGUUCUAAGAGUUCUACAAUCCCACAACAAACACAGAGACAAUCAAAGGUUCUUUAUUAUGAAUUCACUUUUUACAACAAGGACAAUACAGUGUCACUACGGC
This 2176-nucleotide long non-coding RNA is filed under the name Salmo salar (Atlantic salmon). Its description in RNAcentral is "lncRNA (ENSSSAG00000117429.1)". Lineage: Eukaryota; Metazoa; Chordata; Actinopteri; Salmoniformes; Salmonidae. The record is from RNAcentral.